Long non-coding RNA from Gordionus sp. m RMFG-2023, 675 nucleotides. RefSeq lists it as uncharacterized. The transcript has 3 exons. The record is from RefSeq and is a predicted model, not a curated record. Lineage: Eukaryota; Metazoa; Nematomorpha; Gordioida; Chordodea; Parachordodidae.
CCAGAAAACUGGUUCUAGCCAGUUUUCGAGAUGGACCUGGAUUAUUAAUAUUCUUUUUUUUUAUUAUUUAAUUUAUAUAUAUAAAGACCUCGAAAAAUCAAAUUCAGGAUCGAUUUUUAUUUUUUUACUUGUUUCUGUCCGAUAUUGGAAAAAUAAAUUUUUUGAUUAACGAUUAAAAUAAAUUCUUGUAUUUUAAUUAUUCGACUACAAUUAAAUUAAAUUCGAGUUUCAUAAAUUACUCGUUACACGGACAGUAUCUACCCCAGCCCGACGGUGGGACCCGUCUGUCCAACUUCAACAGAUUCCAACAAAAUCAACAAGAAGCUUUGUCUUACAGCUGAUGGAAUGUUUUAUGAUGUGAUGUUCUAUGAUAUGAUUAUGAUUAUAAAAUUAAUAUAAUUCAUGGGAAAUAAAAAAUGAGGUCAAAGAUAUAUCGUAUUUUUAUAUGAAAAAGAAAUGAUGUUAAAGAUAUAUUGUAUUUUUAUAUGAAAAAGAAAUGAGGUAGGUCAAAGAUAUAUUGUAUUUUUAUAUAUGAAAAAGAGAUAAUGUGAAGGUUGUAAUUUAUUUUUAUUUGAAAAAGAAAAAAUUGUUUUUUAGUUAAUUUUUUUUUCGCGUAAAAAAGAGAAUUUUUUUAUGACGAAUUUUUUUUAUAUAAAAUAAUUUUGAUUAUAAAGA